CCCUUAGAUGUCCGGGGCCGCACGCGCGCUACACUGAAGGAAUCAGCGUGGCUUUCUCCCUGACCCGAAAGGGUUGGGAAACCCGUUGAAUCUCCUUCGUGAUAGGGAUUGGGGCUUGAAAUUGUUCCCAUGAACGAGGAAUUCCCAGUAAGCGCGAGUCAUAAGCUCGCGUUGAUUACGUCCCUGCCCUUUGUACACACCGCCCGUCGCUACUACCGAUUGAACGGUUUAGUGAGGGCCUCGGAUUGGUCUCGGCCCGCUCUUUACCGGGCGGCGCCGUUGGUCGAGAAGACGCUCGAACUUGAUCGUUUAGAGGAAGUAAAAGUCGUAACA
Molecule: ribosomal RNA, 333 nt
Filed under: uncultured eukaryote
Lineage: Eukaryota
Description: partial 18S ribosomal RNA
Rfam family: Eukaryotic small subunit ribosomal RNA
Source: RNAcentral